Molecule: ribosomal RNA, 465 nt
Filed under: Vreelandella stevensii
Lineage: Bacteria; Pseudomonadati; Pseudomonadota; Gammaproteobacteria; Oceanospirillales; Halomonadaceae
Description: partial 16S ribosomal RNA
Rfam family: Bacterial small subunit ribosomal RNA
Source: RNAcentral
CCUACGGGUGGCUGCAGUGGGGAAUAUUGGACAAUGGGGGGAACCCUGAUCCAGCCAUGCCGCGUGUGUGAAGAAGGCCCUCGGGUUGUAAAGCACUUUCAGUGAGGAAGAACGCCUGGUGGUUAAUACCCAUCAGGAAAGACAUCACUCACAGAAGAAGCACCGGCUAACUCCGUGCCAGCAGCCGCGGUAAUACGGAGGGUGCGAGCGUUAAUCGGAAUUACUGGGCGUAAAGCGCGCGUAGGUGGCUUGAUAAGCCGGUUGUGAAAGCCCCGGGCUCAACCUGGGAACGGCAUCCGGAACUGUCAAGCUAGAGUGCAGGAGAGGAAGGUAGAAUUCCCGGUGUAGCGGUGAAAUGCGUAGAGAUCGGGAAGAAUACCAGUGGCGAAGGCGGCCUUCUGGACUGACACUGACACUGAGGUGCGAAAGCGUGGGUAGCAAACAGGAUUAGAUACCCCUGUAGUC